This 273-nucleotide ribosomal RNA is filed under the name uncultured prokaryote. Its description in RNAcentral is "partial 16S ribosomal RNA". It matches the Rfam family "Bacterial small subunit ribosomal RNA", at positions 524 to 796 of the family's 1533-position model. The record is from RNAcentral.
UACGUAGGGUGCGAGCGUUGUCCGGAAUUACUGGGCGUAAAGAGCUCGUAGGUGGUUUGUCGCGUUGUUCGUGAAAACUCACAGCUUAACUGUGGGCGUGCGGGCGAUACGGGCAGACUGGAGUACUGCAGGGGAGACUGGAAUUCCUGGUGUAGCGGUGGAAUGCGCAGAUAUCAGGAGGAACACCGGUGGCGAAGGCGGGUCUCUGGGCAGUAACUGACGCUGAGGAGCGAAAGCGUGGGGAGCGAACAGGAUUAGAAACCCCAGUAGUCC